Bubalus bubalis (water buffalo) is the source of this 1095-nucleotide long non-coding RNA. RefSeq lists it as uncharacterized. The record is from RefSeq and is a predicted model, not a curated record. The transcript is spliced from 4 exons. Lineage: Eukaryota; Metazoa; Chordata; Mammalia; Artiodactyla; Bovidae.
AUGCGGGCUACCCACCCCUCUUUCACUCUUCACCCUCCUCUCCCGCAAGGAUUUUCGCCCCUCGGUUGACCCCUUAAACUCUGCUGUGCGCCUCCCUUCGAUCUCCACCCGCAGUGGCCGUGGACUGAUGCUAUGUCCAGAGAUAAGAAGACUGAGGCCAAAGGGAGGGAAGAACUUUUCGAACGUGGUGGCGAGACUGCGACUUUUUUCAAAUCAAAGGCCCUUCCACCAGCAGGCCCUGCUGGACCUCCUACAUCCUAAUAUGUCUCAGAGCCUGCUGCCUGGGGAACCCACCUUGUGCCUAGGAGAACUUGCUGUGUGUCCCAGCUGGUGGGAAUUGACCCAGAAGAGACUGUGACCUUGAAGCCACCAGUGAGAAAGAUGACCUGAAAAGAGGCGGACAAUGAAGCCAUUGCCUUCCUGACUGUGUUCCAACGGACAAGGAACCAAACCAGCUCCCCAGAAAGGACCAGUUUUGGAACCAAGCGUGACUCCCAACCUCUCCAGCUUGGAGCAUGUAAUAUCCGCCACACAGGCUUCUGUCUCCAGCCCUCCCAAUCCCAGACCACAAAAGGUGAUUUCUUACAGCCAUUAGCAUAAUUACCCGACUGCGACGCUAUGGAGAAGCGAUUAGAUGAGCCUGAGAUUUUUGCACAGUUAUUUGUCUCAAGUAAGUCACCUGAAGUUCAUCUGCCAUCAGGAUUCAUAGCUGCAUUCUCUAAUCGCAGGGAAUUAUUUUGCUAAUAACAGAGGUACCUUGAUCUAAUUUAGUUUUAAUGCCAGGAGGUGCCCUCCUAGAAUAAUCAGCUUCAGGGCAAUUCCAAUUUCCAGGUUUGUUACACGUUCUGGAGAGAAGAUUCGAUUCAAGGAGGCUGAAGUUACCUCUUUAUCACCCAAAGUCAUCUAGGGGCGAAAUGGAAUCUACCUCUGCCUGCUUGCAGAAAAAUGCGGGGAGAGGCCCAGAGAGAGGGAGCCAGAGAGAGGGAGGAGCAGGGGGGCUCCCAGAUAAGAGGAACCCCUGGAAGACACCACCGGCGGGUGAGGGCUGGGCUGAAUUAGGACCACAAGGCAUUCCUCGGGAGAACCUGGAUUUUC